RNAcentral lists this unclassified non-coding RNA (2145 nucleotides) under Hevea brasiliensis (rubber tree). The record is from RNAcentral. Lineage: Eukaryota; Viridiplantae; Streptophyta; Magnoliopsida; Malpighiales; Euphorbiaceae.
GAGUAAACCACUACCCCUUCGGUGUUCGCUACCGCUCCUCCCUUCCACACCCACUUCUCCACUUCGGAAUCAACCUCGACUCUCACCAGAGCAGAUCCAAUCCUCGUCAAGCUGCUGUUUAGGGAUAAUAAUCAAAAUCAAGGGACUGAGAUUUUUGAGGAAGGGAAGUACAUGAAAACAAUAGAGAGAGUGCUGGAAAUUGAAUGCUUGUUCUGGGUUUGUGUUUUCGCUUUUGAUUUCUGAGUUUGUGUUGACAUGUUUAUAUUCUGGGUUGAUAUUUUUCAGUUUGCUGUUGUUGAACCGUUGGAUUUUGUGUUUUUGAAUAUAGGUGAUGUUUUUCAAUUUUUUUUUUUAAUUAGAGAAAUUAUUAUUUUAAUUCUUUUACCAAAAGCUGGGCUUAUUUAAAUUUAAUUAAAAAAUUUUGAGUUGACUGGGACAAAAACUUAAAAAUAAUUUUCAAAAUAUCAUUAAAUUGAAACUCAUGGAUUAAGAUAAAUCAUAUUAUAUUUUGUUAGCCUUAAGGAACAAUUAUUCAUCUUAAAAAAAAUUGGAGAUUGGAAAUUUCAAUGCCAAACAGGGAAAGGAAAAAUAUGCCAAUUGAAUUUGACUGCGAAUGGGAAUGCCUGGAAAACUUGAGAAUGGAAUUUUUCUUGCGCAGAUAAAAGUCAUAUUUAGACUCUAAAUGGAGAGUUGACUGUAGAUGUUCAUGCAUGCCGCCUGCUUAAAGAAGUUUUCGGUUGUCUUUCGCACAUCAAACAAGAAGGUGCAAAGAAAAAUCUCGAUUUAUGAUCUCAAUUAGCUUUCACUUGAACUCAAAAGCUUUCAAGAAAAACACCAAGAAAGAGCAAGAAUGGCAAGGCCUCUGAUCAGUUUCAUUUUUGUACUACUGCUAAAUAUUCGGUUGGCAAUAGCAACGGCGCCGAUGGCGAAGCCUAACUGCGCAGACCGUUGCGGAAAUAUUAGCAUUCCAUACCCUUUUGGAAUGGGUAAGGAUUGUUAUAUGGAUGAAUGGUUUGAGGUUGAGUGUAACACCACCAGCUAUCCUCCUACAGCAAUUUUAAGUCGCAUCCAGACGGAGUUGCUCGGUAUUGAUUUUGAAGGCGGCACAGCUAGAGUCAGGAGUCCAAUAAUAACCUCCAAUUGCCACAGCAGAGAUGAGGGUUUGCCUGUGAAUUCGAUAGGAAGUUUUUUGCCUGAGAAUUUGACAGUAAGUUCUUUGCCUGUGAAUUUGACAGGAAGUUAUUUCUACUUGUCUGAUGCGAAUUUAAUGAUUGCAAUCGGUUGCAAUACUCGUGCUUUAUUGACCCCUAAUACGCCUCAUCUCGUUGGGUGCGACUCAACCUGCCAUGCCCAGAAUGAUGUUGAUUGGCAAGAAAUGAUUCCUAAAUUCAUGACUACAUAUUCUGAUGUCCACUGGAUCCAGAAGUAUUGUAGUGGUUACAAUUGCUGUCAGGCCACAAUACCUUCAUUCCUUCAGUUUUUCAAUGCAAGUUUACGAGCUAUAGAUGGUAAUCAAAGCAAUGAUGGUUGCAAGUUGACCUUUCUAGCCGACGGAUCAGCAUGGGUUUCCACGGAAGAAAAGCAUUCCCCUCUUCAGGCUGGGAUGCAGCUAACUUGGAGAAUCAAUUCCAAAAUAUGGAAAUAUGAUGACUUUGAAACCGCAAAUUGCAAUAAAAGCUACAUUUCUUUCUAUGAGGCAGGAUUCCUAUGUUCCUGCAAGAAUGGCUAUAAGGGCAAUCCUUACCUUGGAUGCACAGAUAUUGAUGAAUGCAAUGACCCAACUUAUAGUUCGUGCCAAUGGACUACAAAAUGUGUGAAUACUCCAGGAUCAUAUAAAUGUGUGGUCAAUAUGACUUCGAUUAUAAUUUUUGGUGUUUUUGGUGGAGUUCUAGUAUUGCUUGUGGUUGUACUUGGCACACGGUGGUUACACAAGUCUAUAAAGAAAAGAAAAAACAUUAGGCGGAGGGAAAAGUUCUUCAAGAGAAUGUUACAGCAACAAACAUGUUCAGGUCAAGGCAAAGUUGAUAACGCCAAAAUAUUCAGUUUAAAAGAGUUGGAAAAGUUCUUCAAGAGAAUGUUACAGCAACAAACAUGUUCAGGUCAAGGCAAAGUUGAUAACGCCAAAAUAUUCAGUUUAAAAGAGUU